GUCGACAGGGGUUUUAAGAAUUAUUUCCUUCCACCAAGCGACGCUUCCCAGGAGCCUUGGGGGACCAAGGGACCAUCCGCCUGGGCAUUGGUUUUCUUGCAGUUGCCUCCUCUGCCCUCUUCUCUUGGGGCUCCUUCUUCCACGAUUGCCUCUAUCAAGCAGAAAACCGUGUCCUGGGCCCAACUUUGCAGAGACAAACGGAAAAGCUGCGCAGGCAGAAAGCUAGGAGAUUCACUGCCCCUGGACCCUCGACCCUUAGUCACCUCUGUGCCCCCAUGGCAUCUAUGCCCGGGCCAAGCGCGCCCCCGGAGAGACCUCGCCAACUCAGCGCGACUACAACUUCCCCGGGGGCGGCGGUCGCACCCUGGGCAUCUGCCCUCGUUCUCCUGACCAUCAGAUCUCCUCUCGCCAGAUAACCAGAUCUGCCUGUCGUCUACCCUCUCUCGGCCUCCCAGGAUCUGCCUGGACAAGGAGUGUGCUGGAAUGGCCCAGAAGAAUCCAGUGCUGUGGAACACAAAAUUCCUCGGACGGAAUGAGAUUUCUUAAGAGCAGGACGGAGGACUCCCAACACUUUGCACAAGGAUUUGCCCAAACAGUAGAGCCCAGUAAUUCACAAUGGCUGAUUUUACAAGCCCGCAAGAAACUUUUUUUUUCC
Molecule: long non-coding RNA, 655 nt
Organism: Bos taurus (domestic cattle)
Lineage: Eukaryota; Metazoa; Chordata; Mammalia; Artiodactyla; Bovidae
Source: Ensembl